UACGGGGGGGGCAAGCGUUGUUCGGAAUUACUGGGCGUAAAGGGCUCGUAGGUGGCCAACUAAGUCAGACGUGAAAUCCCUCGGCUUAACCGGGGAACUGCGUCUGAUACUGGAUGGCUUGAGUGUGGGAGAGGGAUGCGGAAUUCCAGGUGUAGCGGUGAAAUGCGUAGAUAUCUGGAGGAACACCGGUGGCGAAGGCGGCAUCCUGGACCACGACUGACGCUGAGUGAGCGAAAGCGUGGGGAGCAAACAGG
Molecule: ribosomal RNA, 254 nt
Filed under: uncultured bacterium
Lineage: Bacteria
Description: partial 16S ribosomal RNA
Rfam family: Bacterial small subunit ribosomal RNA
Source: RNAcentral